CCAAUAGCGUAUAUUAAAGUUGUUGCAGUUAAAAAGCUCGUAGUUGAAUUUCGGGGUUCUACCGUUGGUCAGGCUUUGUCUGUACUGGCGUGUAGAAUUUCUACCUUCUGGGGAACCAUCAUGUUAUUAAUUUAGUGUGAUGGGAAACCAGGACCUUUACCUUGAAAAAAUUAGAGUGUUCAAAGCAGGCUUAUGUCUGAAUACAUUAGCAUGGAAUAAUAGAAUAGGACGGUGGUCCUGUUUUGUUGGUUUCUGAAUCACCGUAAUGAUUAAUAGGGAUAGUUGGGGGCAUUAGUAUUCAAUUGUCAGAGGUGAAAUUCUUGGUUUUAUUGAAGACUAACUUCUGCGAAAGCAUUUGCCAAGGAUGUUUUCAUUAAUCAAGAACGAAAGUUAGGGGAUCGAAGACGAUCAGAUACCGUCGUAGUCUUAACCAUAAACUAUGCCGACUAGGGAUCGGACGAUGUUAACUUUUCUUGACUCGUUCGGCGCCUUACG
This 495-nucleotide ribosomal RNA is filed under the name uncultured Scutellospora. Its description in RNAcentral is "SSU rRNA". It matches the Rfam family "Eukaryotic small subunit ribosomal RNA", at positions 591 to 1092 of the family's 1831-position model. The record is from RNAcentral. Lineage: Eukaryota; Fungi; Glomeromycota; Glomeromycetes; Diversisporales; Gigasporaceae.